This 446-nucleotide ribosomal RNA is filed under the name uncultured bacterium. RNAcentral describes it as "partial 16S ribosomal RNA". It matches the Rfam family "Bacterial small subunit ribosomal RNA", at positions 338 to 795 of the family's 1533-position model. The record is from RNAcentral.
CCUACGGGGGGCAGCAGUCGAGAAUCAUUCACAAUGGGGGAAACCCUGAUGGUGCGACGCCACGUGGGGGAAUGAAGGUCUUCGGAUUGUAAACCCCUGUCAUGUGGGAGCAAAUUAAAAAGAUAGUACCACAAGAGGAAGAGACGGCUAACUCUGUGCCAGCAGCCGCGGUAAUACAGAGGUCUCAAGCGUUGUUCGGAAUCACUGGGCGUAAAGCGUGCGUAGGCUGUUUCGUAAGUCGUGUGUGAAAGGCGCGGGCUCAACCCGCGGACGGCACAUGAUAAUGCGAGACUAGAGUAAUGGAGGGGGAACCGGAAUUCUCGGUGUAGCAGUGAAAUGCGUAGAUAUCGAGAGGAACACUCGUGGCGAAGGCGGGUUCCUGGACAUUAACUGACGCUGAGGCACGAAGGCCAGGGGAGCGAACAGGAUUAGAUACCCUGGUAGUC